RNAcentral lists this long non-coding RNA (455 nucleotides) under Mytilus galloprovincialis (Mediterranean mussel). The record is from RNAcentral. Lineage: Eukaryota; Metazoa; Mollusca; Bivalvia; Mytilida; Mytilidae.
CCAUGUUUACACGUUUCCUUCUAAUAUAAUAUGCAUACAAGAAGAGCGGCAGGACGUUAUUUUUAUUACAUUAUAGUUACAAUAAAAGAAUUUUAACAAUAAAAUUGUUAUUGUUACAUUAUUAAAUUGUUAUUCUUUCGAAUUUCUUCAUUCAUGAUUUGGAUUUAUUCCACUGCUGAGAAGGGGCAAGGGGCUCCAAUAACAGCAAAACAGUUAAAUGAUUUCAUUAAUAACAGUUAGGCAUGGACCAUUUAACUUGUAGGGGGACAUGGUUUUUUUUCUGGUCAGAAUAUUUUCUAUUUUUUGGAAGUAGCACAACAAAUUAUUUUUUUUGCAAAUUGCAAAUUGAAAAUUUCAGGACAGGUAGACCUUGACCUAAUAAAUAUUUUAACUUCUAGUCUUAUUUGCUCUAAAUGCUGGAGUUUUUUAGAUAUAAGCCAAAAACUGCAUUUUAC